Non-coding RNA from Podarcis lilfordi (Lilford's wall lizard), 2789 nucleotides. NCBI's taxonomy places the organism in Eukaryota, Metazoa, Chordata, Lepidosauria, Squamata, Lacertidae. The record is from the annotation of a GenBank genome assembly.
UACAGCUUAAAAUACAAGUGUGAUGCCGUAGUGGGAAGGCUCUGAGCUUCAAUCUACAACCCUAGGGGCUCAGCGUAGAUGGGGAACUUGAAGCCAUACACACAUCCAUCUCUCUCUUGUUUAACUUGAAAUGUCUUUCAGGUGAACCAGACGGCCCUUCAAACAGAGGACACCUUCAAACAGAGGACUGUACUCUACAAAGUGGGACGCAGGUGGCGCUGUGGGUUAAACCACAGAGCCUAGGACUUGCCAAUCGGAAGGUCGGCGGUUCGAAUCCCCGCGACGGGGGUGAGCUCCCAUUGCUCGGUCCCUGCUCCUGCCAACCUAGCAGUUCAAAAGCCCCUCAAAGUACAAGUAGAUAAAUAGGUACCGCUCCAGCGGGAAGGUAAAUGGCGUUUCCGUGCGCUGCUCUGGUUCGCCAGAAGCGGCUUAGUCAUGCUGACCACAUGACCCAGAAGCUGUAGGCCAGCUCCCUCGGCCAUUAAAGCGAGAUGAGCACCGCAACCCCAGAGUCGGUCACGACUGGACCUAAUGGUCAGGGGUCCCUUUACCUUUACUCUACAAAGUAGGACCCAUGGUGAUCCUAUUAAGAGUGCUGCAGGUGGGAGAUCGACAUUUUAAAAUACAGUCGUACCUCCGCUUACAUAUCCCUCUGGAUACGUAAACUUCAGGAUGCGAACGCAGCAAACCGGAAGUAUUUUUCCGGGUUUCGCAGUGCGCGCAUGCGCAGAAGCGGUCCUCCAGUUGCAAAUUCCUCGGGAUGCAGCCGGACCUCCGGAACGGAUCCCGUUUGCAACCGGAGGUACCACUGUAACCUUCUAUGGGGGGAAAUGAAGGGGAAACACUCCCUGAAAGCAAAAAAUAUCUAGCAUGUCAGGGAGAAAAGUUCUAGACCAAACCAUCCAUUCUACCCACAAGGGUAGACAUCCACUCAUCAAAUUUUACAGGUCGUUGGGCACUUGUUGACUCUGCUAUCUCCUUCCCACCUAAUUCUGCUGUUUUAUAACUUUAAAACAACAAGCCAAACACUCUCUCUCCUGCUGAUGUUCAGGGGAUGAGUGCCAUUGCUUACAUAGCAGGCAGAUGAGGAAAAAGCACUUGGCAGCCAGUGAAGCCAAAAAUUAUGGAAGGAAUUCAAUGUUGUGCUGAUUUGAAAUCACUUAGCAGUGUGCCAGUUGUGCAAGAGAAGUCAUGGGAAGUCGCGAUGGCUCUCGGCACUCUUCUGCUGUAGGUCUGAUCCUGCCCGCUCUGUGCAACCUCUUGCCCCAGCAAGCUUCCACUGGUCCAGCUGUUGCAACACAUUUCAUAUCAUGCCUCUGUUACUCUCAACCUUAUGCCAGCGCAGCAGCCCUCGCACCGGUGCUCAAAGAAUGCCCUUUUACCAAAUCACAUCUCUUAAACUCUGCAGAGCACCCCUAAAGCUGCAAUAUGGAGUACAGGGUCAUAUUUAAGGUGCUGGUUUUGACCUUUAAAGCCCUUCACGGCCUAGGACCCUCGUACCUACAGGACUGCCUCUCCCAGUAUGCCCCAUGGAGGACCUUAAGGUCCAUAAAUAGCAACACCCUAAAGGUCCCGGGCCCUAAGGAAGUCAGAUUAGCCUCAACCAGAGGCAGGGCCUUUUCAACACUGGCCCCGGGCCUGGUGGAACGCUCUGUCUCAUGAGACCAGGGCCCUGCAGGAUCUGAUUUCUUUCUGCAGGGCCUGUAAGACAGAAUUGUUCCACCUGGCCUUUGGCUUGGAAUCAACUUGAUCCCUUUUUCCUUUUUUCUUUCUCCUUCUGUGAUGGAACUCCUAUUUGGGGACUUCCCUGGCUUUUUUCUGGCCCAUGUAGGACAGUCUGGAUAGUUGGCCUUGGUGAAGAUUUGACGUUUUCAUCCCUGAAAUGUUUUUGAUUUGAGUUCCUCCUGAAAUGAGGCUGCAUUUUAAUGUUGUACUAAAUCUUGUUUUUAUGUUGUAUUUUAAUCAAUUGUUUUUACCUGGUGUUAGGCUUCCUGAGCCCAGUCUUGGCUGGGGAGGGCAGUGUAUAAAUAAAAUUUAUUAUUAUUACUAAGAUCGUGACACAUUUUGGUCCCGUGUGCAUGAAAGCAAGUUGGGGCUGUCCCACGGAAGAUGGAGCAAGCUGGUUUUCUCCUGCUCCAGAGGCUAGGACUCAAACCAAUGGAUCCAAGAUGCAAGAAAGGAAAUUCCAGCUAAACAUCAGGAAGAACCUUCUGACAGUAAGAGCUGUUUGACGGUGGAACAGACUCCCUCGGGAAAGUUGUGGACUUUCCUUCCUUGGAGGUUUUUAAGCAGAGGUUGCACGACCAUCUGUCCUGGGUGCUUUAGUUGAGAUUUCUGCAUUGUAGGGUGUUGGACCAGAUGACCCUCAGAGACCCUGCCAGCUCUACGAUUCUAUGAUCAAAUGCAAAAGAAAGAAGAAAAAAUUAACACGUCUCUAAACCCCACAGCUAAUUCUCCCCUGGCCUCCUCGCUGGCCCAAGUAGGACCAAUUCAGCCAGCUAGCCCUGGGGAUUAUCUAAUUGAUUUUUGAUUUUUGAAUUUACUGUUAUUCAUGUUUUUAUACUGUAUUUUAUGCUGCUUUUAUAAUUAAGUGUUUUAAAGUGUUUUAAAUUUGUUGUUUGCCGCCCUGAGCCCAGUUUUUGAACCUGGAAGGGCGGGGUAUAAUAAUAAUAAUAAUAAUAAUAAUAAUAAUAAUAAUAAUAAUAAUUUAUUUAUACCCCGCCCAUCUGGCUGAGUUUCCCCAGCCACUCUAGGCGGCUUCCAAUCAAGUGUUAAAAACAAUACAGCAU